This 325-nucleotide long non-coding RNA is filed under the name Sorghum bicolor (sorghum). Its description in RNAcentral is "long non-coding RNA (SBIC_LNC008437)". The record is from RNAcentral. Lineage: Eukaryota; Viridiplantae; Streptophyta; Magnoliopsida; Poales; Poaceae.
GCAACUUUCUUUCUAAAUUUUUUUCUCUUUUCUUUCUUCUCCUUCUUUUUGACACACUUUUUUUUUGUAACUAAACACAGUGAUCAGAUAUAAUACUUGCAAACUUGAUGAUAGAAACAAAGCACAACUAGAAACUAUAAUUUGAUAGGAUCAAAGAUGACACAGAGGCUGAUAUAGGCUAUAAAGAUUAUUUUGUGGGGAUUUUUAGAUAUAAAAGAGGCACAAAGAACACACGAAGGAUAAAUGAUCAGCAACUAAAACAAUGACUCUAAUGGACUACGACUUAACCGAACUCACUAAAAUAAUAGAUUGAAACAAAGGUCUA